RNAcentral lists this ribosomal RNA (484 nucleotides) under uncultured bacterium. Its description in RNAcentral is "partial 16S ribosomal RNA". It matches the Rfam family "Bacterial small subunit ribosomal RNA", at positions 29 to 523 of the family's 1533-position model. The record is from RNAcentral.
AGUGAACGCUGGCGGCGUGCUUAACACAUGCAAGUCGAACGAGAACGGGUUAUAGCUUGCUAUAAUUGUCAGCUAAGUGGCGCACGGGUGAGUAAUGUAUAGGUAAUAUGCCUCUUACUAAGGGAUAACAAAUGGAAACGUUUGCUAAUACCUUAUACUCCUUAUUAACAUAAGUUAAUAAGGGAAAGAUUUAUUGGUAAGGGAUUAGCCUGUAUUGUAUCAGUUAGUUGGUGGGGUAAUGGCUUACAAAGACUAUGACACAUAACUGGUUUGAGAGGAGGAUCAGUCACACUGGAACUGGGACACGGUCCAGACUCCUACGGGAGGCAGCAGUGGGGAAUAUUGCACAAUGGACGAAAGUCUGAUGCAGCAACGCCGCGUGGAGGAUGACACAUUUCGGUGCGUAAACUCCUUUUAUAUGAGAAGAUAAUGACGGUAUUAUAAGAAUAAGCACCGGCUAACUCCGUGCCAGCCGCCGCAGUAA